GACAGGAAAAUACAAGAGAGGGGGUUAAGGGCUGCGCUGGAAAAAUAAAAAAAUAAAUGAAUUAACGAAUGAUAAUAAAACCAUCUUAUUUUAUUAUCAUUCGUUGAUUUAUUUAUUUUUUUAUUUUUCCAGCGCAGCCCUUAACCCCCUCUCUUGUACUAAGGGAC
RNAcentral lists this microRNA precursor (167 nucleotides) under Pelobates cultripes (western spadefoot toad). The record is from RNAcentral. Lineage: Eukaryota; Metazoa; Chordata; Amphibia; Anura; Pelobatidae.